RNAcentral lists this long non-coding RNA (1630 nucleotides) under Podarcis lilfordi (Lilford's wall lizard). The record is from RNAcentral. Lineage: Eukaryota; Metazoa; Chordata; Lepidosauria; Squamata; Lacertidae.
UGGAGGUUGGGAGGUACAACAGAGAGCAGCUUGGCUAACUGCUCUCUGAAGAACCUGACACUCCUUUAAAAGGGGUUGUGGGUUGAGGUGAGUGGUGAGGGAAGAGGUAAGCUGAGAGGGGAGGGAGAUUAGGUAAACUGAGACAGAAGGUUUGGGCAAGAUGUAAAGGGAUGGGUGAGGUGUAAAGAGAGCAGGGGUUGAUCAGGCGUGGGGAAGGUAUGUGGGGUCAGUAAGCAGAGCAAGCAUAUGUGCCCCAACACACCCAAUUUGGGAAUUUCACUGGGAGUGUAGGAGCCACAUUAAGAGCUUUCCCAGGCUAAGAAAUAUGCACAGAGCUGCCCCACCCCCAUUCUGUAAAGUGAAUGCACAAGCAUUAAAUCACAUGUGAAGAUCUCAGACUGAAUGACAAGGAUUUGUUGUUCUCAUCAUAAAACUGACCCAGGUAAUUGUCAAAGAGCUACCUCAGCAGGCCUGCUGAGCCCUGAGGCCCCAUCUGCACUAUACAUUUAUAGCAGCAUCACAGCACUUUGUACAGCCAUGGGUUCCCCAAAAGAAUCUUGGGAACUGUAGUUUAUUAAGUGUGCUGAGGGUUGUUGGGAGACCUUCAUUUCCUUUUCAGAACUAUAAUUCCCAGAGUUCCCUAGGAAGACGGAUUGACUGUUAAACGAUUCUGAGAAUAGUUACUCUGUGAGGGCACCAUUCUCAGCACUCUUAACAAACUACCGUUUCCAGGAUUCUUUGGGAGAAGCCAUGACUUUUCAAAGUGGUAUGAUGAUGCUUUAAAUGUAUACUGCAGAUGGAGCCUGAAUCUUGACUGGAACCAACAAAGGACUAAUCUUCUAAUAAUGUACAGUUGUACCCUGGAAGUCGAACAGAAUCCGUUCUGGAAAUCUGUUCGACUUCCAAAAUGUUUGAAGCCACUGCAGCAAAUCAGAAGCCUAGGAAGCCCCGUCGGACAUUUGGGUUCCAAAAGAACAUUCGCAAACAUUCACAAUCACUUCUGGGUUUGUGGUGUUUCGGAGCCAAAACAUCCGUGUUCCAGGGCAUUCAGGAUCCAAGGUACAACUGUAUUGUUACAAAGUAGGAAGACUAGCAAUAUAUUACAAGUUUGUCUCCUAUGACUGAGCACUCAGUUAACAUUACAAGGCCUUUCUAGCCAUGGUAGACAUAAGUCGGCUGGGUAUUAAUAGAGAUGGGCCACUGCUGACUGGAUACCUGUGUAAGUCAGCUACCUAGGCUAGAAAGUAGAUCUCAUUCCUGACUGAAUUGACUUGAGGGAUGGAAAUGUGUGGGUGUUUCUUUUUUUUAUUCCCUGUAGCAAUUUACAUCUCCAAGAGAAAUGUCCUCCUCUGCUCUCUUUUACAGAUUUUUAUCUCUAGCAAUUUAAAUCUCCUAGAGAAAUGUCCACUUCCUCUGCUCUCUUCUAGGCUAGGACUUUGGCAGUCCCCCAUAGAUGCAUGCAAAAGUUCCCAGUCACAAUUUCGCGCACCUCAAGGUAGGGUUGGGAAACUCUUUAAUCUACAAUCCUGCCUGAACAGCCUCUGCUAGUCUGUAGCUAGAUGAGCCAAUAGUCUGACCUGGUAUAAGAAAACUUCCUGUAUUCCUGUGACCCAUCAAGGAAUAACUGUAC